This 524-nucleotide long non-coding RNA is filed under the name Anas platyrhynchos platyrhynchos (common mallard). Its description in RNAcentral is "lncRNA (ENSAPLG00000031232.1)". Lineage: Eukaryota; Metazoa; Chordata; Aves; Anseriformes; Anatidae. The record is from RNAcentral.
GUUUUAUUAAAACACCUUGUGGGAAUGGAAACCUCGUCCUGUGAGAGGACAGCAUUAACAUGAAUUGUGUAAGUCUUUUUGAUUUGUUUGGUAUAAGCUAGGAAAAAACAAACAUGCAUAAUAUAUAGUGAGAGGAAGAAAGGACCCGCUACUACCAUACUUCUCCAUGCUUCAGUUCUUUUCAAUUUUAACGUGCUUUGGAACAAGAGGCCAUAAAUAUGUGCAUAAUAAUUACAUUUAGGUGUGACUGAAGGACAGCAAGUGAGCAGCUAGAGAACUUAACCUUACACUGUACUGCAACAGCCAUAGCAAGCAGGAAAGGCAUUUCUGGUUGCUCUGUGAUAGAGGAAGGAGGAACAGAAUUAAAGGGAGACAGAAUAUGGAAAUAACAAGCUGGGAUGAGAAGUAUCUGGAGAAAGGUAGGUUCAUCAUUAUGUCCAGAUGGUAAAGAUUUUGGGGAAAUGGCUUAGUCUGCCAUUUGGAGAUUUACCACAAUUUAAGGAGACUGACAGUAGUCAUGGAUA